GGCGUCGUGGCCGAGUGGCUUAGGCAGGGGCCUGCAAAGCCCCCCACGUGAGUUCGAUUCUCACCGACGCCU
Molecule: transfer RNA, 72 nt
Filed under: Actinomycetota bacterium
Lineage: Bacteria; Bacillati; Actinomycetota
Description: Actinobacteria bacterium tRNA-Cys
Rfam family: tRNA
About the family: Transfer RNA (tRNA) molecules are approximately 80 nucleotides in length. Their secondary structure includes four short double-helical elements and three loops (D, anti-codon, and T loops).
Source: RNAcentral